GAUCAUGGCUCAGGAUGAACGCUAGCUACAGGCUUAACACAUGCAAGUCGAGGGGCAGCAGGACGAUAGCUUGCUAUUGUUGCUGGCGACCGGCGCACGGGUGAGUAACGCGUAUCCAACCUUCCCCUUAGUAGGGCAUAGCCCGGUGAAAAUCGGAUUAAUACCCUAUGUUAUUCGUCGAGGACAUCUGAAGUGAAUCAAAGAUUUAUCGCUAAGGGAUGGGGAUGCGUCUGAUUAGGUAGUCGGCGGGGUAACGGCCCACCGAGCCCUCGAUCAGUAGGGGUUCUGAGAGGAAGGUCCCCCACACUGGUACUGAGACACGGACCAGACUCCUACGGGAGGCAGCAGUGAGGAAUAUUGGUCAGUGGGCGAGAGCCUGAACCAGCCAAGUAGCGUGCAGGAUGACGGCCCUAUGGGUUGUAAACUGCUUUUAUACGGGGAUAAAGUGAGGGACGUGUCCCUUAUUGUAGGUACCGUAUGAAUAAGGACCGGCUAAUUCCGUGCCAGCCGCUGC
This 514-nucleotide ribosomal RNA is filed under the name uncultured bacterium. RNAcentral's name for it is "bacterial SSU rRNA". It matches the Rfam family "Bacterial small subunit ribosomal RNA", at positions 15 to 518 of the family's 1533-position model. The record is from RNAcentral.